GACGUAGGGCGCGAGCGUUGUCCGGAUUUAUUGGGCGUAAAGAGCUCGUAGGCGGCUCGUCGCGUCGGCCGUGAAAACCAGCAGCUUAACUGCUGGCUUGCGGUUGAUACGGGCGGGCUAGAGUUCGGUAGGGGAGACUGGAAUUCCUGGUGUAGCGGUGAAAUGCGCAGAUAUCAGGAGGAACACCGGUGGCGAAGGCGGAUCUCUGGGCCAUUACUGACGCUGAGGAGCGAAAGCGUGGGGAGCGAACAGG
Molecule: ribosomal RNA, 253 nt
Filed under: uncultured bacterium
Lineage: Bacteria
Description: partial 16S ribosomal RNA
Rfam family: Bacterial small subunit ribosomal RNA
Source: RNAcentral